This is a long non-coding RNA of Asparagus officinalis (garden asparagus), 777 nucleotides long. RefSeq lists it as uncharacterized. NCBI's taxonomy places the organism in Eukaryota, Viridiplantae, Streptophyta, Magnoliopsida, Asparagales, Asparagaceae. The record is from RefSeq and is a predicted model, not a curated record. The transcript has 2 exons.
CCACUAAAGCAAAAACUUAAGAACAUACCUCGGAAAAUUAAAAACAUACCUUUGUCCAAAUUAUUUAGUCUGAAUUAGUUCCUCAAGAAGAUUUGUCAAUGAAGUUCUCAACUCAUUUCUGCUGCAUGAUCCUCAUCACCUUCAUUCUCCUCACGCAUAAUGUAUUUUCAUCUAGCGCAGUUCCUGCAGAUAGAAUCCAGGUUCAAACUUCUCGAUGGAGAUUACUCGAACCCAGACCUUAUCAUCCGCCACCACCGUGGGUGGCGAUCAAACCACCAAUAAUCCACUAUUGACUAGAAAGUGAGCUUCUUCCUCUAUUAUGAUUAGCUGGGUAUUUCAACGCUGAAAUUUGCUUAAAACAAGGGAAAAUCAAUUAGUAAACUACCAAGUCAUUAAAACCGUGGCUUUACAAGUUUUCUACUUUUUCUUUGUGAAAUCUAUCUAUGGCCUGAUUGUGAUUUCACCACUAAAUGAAAUCUUAUUUGGAUAUGUCUGACCACAUGGUGCCUUUUAAACAAACACGUUCUCUCAGGAAGUGCUUAUUGGAAAUGAAGCUGAUAGUGAAGCCCAUGUUUUAAACCUAGAGAAGAUGUGUUUGUAUAUAUGUGAACAACUUUCAGCUUCCCAUAUUUAUAUGCCCAAGAAUCCAUGAUUAUCAAGUGCUGGGUCAAUUUAUGUUCCAGAUGUAAGAAUUAUUUUUUUAAAUGAAUGGUUUAGUUGUAGCAUGAUACUAAUUUGGUUGAAUUUUCUCAUCUGAAUUCUGUGGAGGUCGCUAUA